RNAcentral lists this ribosomal RNA (2903 nucleotides) under Escherichia coli HVH 45 (4-3129918). RNAcentral describes it as "bacterial LSU rRNA". It matches the Rfam family "Bacterial large subunit ribosomal RNA". Lineage: Bacteria; Pseudomonadati; Pseudomonadota; Gammaproteobacteria; Enterobacterales; Enterobacteriaceae. The record is from RNAcentral.
UUAAGCGACUAAGCGUACACGGUGGAUGCCCUGGCAGUCAGAGGCGAUGAAGGACGUGCUAAUCUGCGAUAAGCGUCGGUAAGGUGAUAUGAACCGUUAUAACCGGCGAUUUCCGAAUGGGGAAACCCAGUGUGAUUCGUCACACUAUCAUUAACUGAAUCCAUAGGUUAAUGAGGCGAACCGGGGGAACUGAAACAUCUAAGUACCCCGAGGAAAAGAAAUCAACCGAGAUUCCCCCAGUAGCGGCGAGCGAACGGGGAGCAGCCCAGAGCCUGAAUCAGUGUGUGUGUUAGUGGAAGCGUCUGGAAAGGCGCGCGAUACAGGGUGACAGCCCCGUACACAAAAAUGCACAUACUGUGAGCUCGAUGAGUAGGGCGGGACACGUGGUAUCCUGUCUGAAUAUGGGGGGACCAUCCUCCAAGGCUAAAUACUCCUGACUGACCGAUAGUGAACCAGUACCGUGAGGGAAAGGCGAAAAGAACCCCGGCGAGGGGAGUGAAAAAGAACCUGAAACCGUGUACGUACAAGCAGUGGGAGCCUCUUAAUGGGGUGACUGCGUACCUUUUGUAUAAUGGGUCAGCGACUUAUAUUCUGUAGCAAGGUUAACCGAAUAGGGGAGCCGAAGGGAAACCGAGUCUUAACUGGGCGUUAAGUUGCAGGGUAUAGACCCGAAACCCGGUGAUCUAGCCAUGGGCAGGUUGAAGGUUGGGUAACACUAACUGGAGGACCGAACCGACUAAUGUUGAAAAAUUAGCGGAUGACUUGUGGCUGGGGGUGAAAGGCCAAUCAAACCGGGAGAUAGCUGGUUCUCCCCGAAAGCUAUUUAGGUAGCGCCUCGUGAAUUCAUCUCCGGGGGUAGAGCACUGUUUCGGCAAGGGGGUCAUCCCGACUUACCAACCCGAUGCAAACUGCGAAUACCGGAGAAUGUUAUCACGGGAGACACACGGCGGGUGCUAACGUCCGUCGUGAAGAGGGAAACAACCCAGACCGCCAGCUAAGGUCCCAAAGUCAUGGUUAAGUGGGAAACGAUGUGGGAAGGCCCAGACAGCCAGGAUGUUGGCUUAGAAGCAGCCAUCAUUUAAAGAAAGCGUAAUAGCUCACUGGUCGAGUCGGCCUGCGCGGAAGAUGUAACGGGGCUAAACCAUGCACCGAAGCUGCGGCAGCGACGCUUAUGCGUUGUUGGGUAGGGGAGCGUUCUGUAAGCCUGCGAAGGUGUGCUGUGAGGCAUGCUGGAGGUAUCAGAAGUGCGAAUGCUGACAUAAGUAACGAUAAAGCGGGUGAAAAGCCCGCUCGCCGGAAGACCAAGGGUUCCUGUCCAACGUUAAUCGGGGCAGGGUGAGUCGACCCCUAAGGCGAGGCCGAAAGGCGUAGUCGAUGGGAAACAGGUUAAUAUUCCUGUACUUGGUGUUACUGCGAAGGGGGGACGGAGAAGGCUAUGUUGGCCGGGCGACGGUUGUCCCGGUUUAAGCGUGUAGGCUGGUUUUCCAGGCAAAUCCGGAAAAUCAAGGCUGAGGCGUGAUGACGAGGCACUACGGUGCUGAAGCAACAAAUGCCCUGCUUCCAGGAAAAGCCUCUAAGCAUCAGGUAACAUCAAAUCGUACCCCAAACCGACACAGGUGGUCAGGUAGAGAAUACCAAGGCGCUUGAGAGAACUCGGGUGAAGGAACUAGGCAAAAUGGUGCCGUAACUUCGGGAGAAGGCACGCUGAUAUGUAGGUGAAGUCCCUUGCGGAUGGAGCUGAAAUCAGUCGAAGAUACCAGCUGGCUGCAACUGUUUAUUAAAAACACAGCACUGUGCAAACACGAAAGUGGACGUAUACGGUGUGACGCCUGCCCGGUGCCGGAAGGUUAAUUGAUGGGGUUAGCGGUAACGCGAAGCUCUUGAUCGAAGCCCCGGUAAACGGCGGCCGUAACUAUAACGGUCCUAAGGUAGCGAAAUUCCUUGUCGGGUAAGUUCCGACCUGCACGAAUGGCGUAAUGAUGGCCAGGCUGUCUCCACCCGAGACUCAGUGAAAUUGAACUCGCUGUGAAGAUGCAGUAUACCCGCGGCAAGACGGAAAGACCCCGUGAACCUUUACUAUAGCUUGACACUGAACAUUGAGCCUUGAUGUGUAGGAUAGGUGGGAGGCUUUGAAGUGUGGACGCCAGUCUGCAUGGAGCCGACCUUGAAAUACCACCCUUUAAUGUUUGAUGUUCUAACGUUGGCCCCUAAUCGGGGUUGCGGACAGUGUCUGGUGGGUAGUUUGACUGGGGCGGUCUCCUCCUAAAGAGUAACGGAGGAGCACGAAGGUUGGCUAAUCCUGGUCGGACAUCAGGAGGUUAGUGCAAUGGCAUAAGCCAGCUUGACUGCGAGCGUGACGGCGCGAGCAGGUGCGAAAGCAGGUCAUAGUGAUCCGGUGGUUCUGAAUGGAAGGGCCAUCGCUCAACGGAUAAAAGGUACUCCGGGGAUAACAGGCUGAUACCGCCCAAGAGUUCAUAUCGACGGCGGUGUUUGGCACCUCGAUGUCGGCUCAUCACAUCCUGGGGCUGAAGUAGGUCCCAAGGGUAUGGCUGUUCGCCAUUUAAAGUGGUACGCGAGCUGGGUUUAGAACGUCGUGAGACAGUUCGGUCCCUAUCUGCCGUGGGCGCUGGAGAACUGAGGGGGGCUGCUCCUAGUACGAGAGGACCGGAGUGGACGCAUCACUGGUGUUCGGGUUGUCAUGCCAAUGGCACUGCCCGGUAGCUAAAUGCGGAAGAGAUAAGUGCUGAAAGCAUCUAAGCACGAAACUUGCCCCGAGAUGAGUUCUCCCUGACUCCCUGAGAGUCCUGAAGGAACGUUGAAGACGACGACGUUGAUAGGCCGGGUGUGUAAGCGCAGCGAUGCGUUGAGCUAACCGGUACUAAUGAACCGUGAGGCUUAACCUU